UGGGGAAUAUUGCACAAUGGGCGCAAGCCUGAUGCAGCCAUGCAGCGUGUGUGAAGAAGGCCUUCGGGUUGUAAAGCACUUUCAGCGGGGAGGAAGGCGAUAAGGUUAAUAACCUCAUCGAUUGACGUUACCCGCAGAAGAAGCACCGGCUAACUCCGUGCCAGCAGCCGCGGUAAUACGGAGGGUGCAAGCGUUAAUCGGAAUUACUGGGCGUAAAGCGCACGCAGGCGGUCUGUCAAGUCGGAUGUGAAAUCCCCGGGCUCAACCUGGGUACUGCAUUCGAAACUGGCAGGCUAGAGUCUUGUAGAGGGGGGUAGAAUUCCAGGUGUAGCGGUGAAAUGCGUAGAGAUCUGGAGGAAUACCGGUGGCGAAGGCGGCCCCCUGGACAAAGACUGACGCUCAGGUGCGAAAGCGUGGGGAGCAAACAGG
This 429-nucleotide ribosomal RNA is filed under the name Chloroflexota bacterium. RNAcentral's name for it is "Chloroflexi bacterium partial 16S ribosomal RNA". It matches the Rfam family "Bacterial small subunit ribosomal RNA", at positions 355 to 776 of the family's 1533-position model. The record is from RNAcentral. Lineage: Bacteria; Bacillati; Chloroflexota.